GACGAACGCUGGCGGCAUGCCUAAUACAUGCAAGUCGAGCGAACAGAUGAAGUGCUUGCACUUCUGACGUUAGCGGCGAACGGGUGAGUAACACGUAAGGAAUCUACCUAUAAGCGGGGGAUAACAUUCGGAAACGGGUGCUAAUACCGCAUAAUAUCUUCUUCCGCAUGGAAGAAGAUUGAAAGACGGCUCUGCUGUCACUUAUAGAUGACCUUGCGGUGCAUUAGUUAGUUGGUGGAGUAAUGGCCUACCAAGACGAUGAUGCAUAGCCGACCUGAGGGGGUGAUCGGCCACAUUGGGACUGAGACACGGCCCAAACUCCUACGGGAGGCAGCAGUAGGGAAUCUUCCGCAAUGGGCGAAAGCCUGACGGAGCAAUGCCGCGUGAGUGAAGAAGGCCUUCGGGUCGUAAAACUCUGUUAUAAGAGAAGAACAAAUUGUAGAGUAACUGCUACAGUCUUGACGGUAUCUUAUCAGAAGGCCACGGCUAACUACGUGCCAGCAGCCGCAGUAA
RNAcentral lists this ribosomal RNA (513 nucleotides) under uncultured bacterium. Its description in RNAcentral is "partial 16S ribosomal RNA". It matches the Rfam family "Bacterial small subunit ribosomal RNA", at positions 28 to 523 of the family's 1533-position model. The record is from RNAcentral.